Solanum pennellii is the source of this 1797-nucleotide RNA transcript. It is a transcript of the gene named two-component response regulator-like APRR9, with no coding region annotated. The record is from RefSeq and is a predicted model, not a curated record. Lineage: Eukaryota; Viridiplantae; Streptophyta; Magnoliopsida; Solanales; Solanaceae. The transcript has 5 exons.
UCCUUUGACAUUAUGCAUGAUAUAAAUUUUCUAGAUUUUGAAAAAUUAAAUCAAGAAACAACAAUGAUGCAAGACAUGAUGCUUCAUCCUCAAGAACAUCAUCAACUUUUUAAUGUACAAGAAGAGAUGCCAAGCCCAAUAAAUGAUCAAAUUUUGAAUUUUUGUGAAUCUGAACUUUUUUCAGAAAUACAAAAUUCAGAUGUUGCUUCUACCUCAAAUAAUUCUUCUUAUAGUACUAGCACUACAACAAAUUUCGAUCUAAAUAAAAUCGAAAAAAAUGAUGAAACGAUCACAAAAACAACUACGAGUAAUGUUAACAAUAAUAGGUCGAUGAUAUUUGAUACACAGGAUGAAAUUGAUAACGAUAUUUCAGCAUCAAUAGACUUUACCCCAUCCGCGAAUUUCACUGUUCCUGAUCAUCAUUUUUUACAACAACAAGAGGAGCAAUUCGACGUAAAUUGCUCUGUUAUUCCCCUGUCUCAUCAUCUUAUGGGGCCUUCAUUAUACGAAGAUGAAUCGUUGACAUCUCUCCCUCCUUACAUCCGAGGAGUCACAAGUACUCCUUCAUGUGCAUUUCUUGAUCAUAAUAUGGUGAAUUAUCUUCAAGGAAAUAUCAACAACACAAUAUUUGAUGCAGCUGCUAAUAGUCAUGCAUUGUUUUUUGGAUCUCAAUUGCCAAAUCAAGAAAUGGAUUAUCAAGGAGAAAAUGGUAGAAUUUUUUGCCCUGAUUCCUUGUCAAGAAUCUAUAACAAUGAGAUUCAGGCAUUGAGCAAUGAGAGUCAACAUUUGGUUAGUGGUGGUGGUUGUUCUAAUACUUUGGCCACAGAAAUCACAAGUUUUGAAGAUCCUACCUUUAAAUCUGGUAGGUGUUCAGUUGAAGAAAGGAGGGAGAAGAUUCAUAGAUACAUGAAGAAAAGAAAUGAGAGAAAUUUCCGCAAAAAAAUUAAGUAUGCAUGCAGAAAAACACUAGCAGAUAGUAGGCCAAGAGUGAAGGGAAGAUUUGCAAGAAAUGAUGAAUUUGGUGAGGCAAGUAAAGCAAAUUCUUGUGGUACUAUUGAAGAGGAUACAAUUAGUCAUGAAGAUGUUAGACUCAAUGAUAUAAUGUAUCAUCCAAAUAUGGUUACAUCUUCAACACAUCAUGACAACAAUGCCACAAUUUUCACCUCAAAUUGUCAUGUACCAACUACUAAUGAUCCCUAUGAUAUGUGCACACCUCUCUAUUGUACAGAUGGUCAAAUGCACUAAGUUAAAGAGUUUCUAUAAAGCUCUACAAUGUGCUCCUGUAUAAGUUCUUCCUCUACAUAUAACAAGUAUUAGGUAGUGAAAGAAGAAGAGGUGGAAUUCAUUAUAUAUAUAUAUUAUUGGUGUGAUGUGAAUUCAGAUAUUGCAUCAAGCAAUCUUGGAUUUGAUCAGCUGUGUCAACUUUUAUUUUGGAUACAAUUUUUGCAGAAAUUUGUUUCCAAUGGGAUGUAUUAAUUAGUCAUAAACUAAUUAAUUAGAGAAAACAAAGAAUAACUAGUAAUAACUUAAUCAAUAUCCUUUAGUUAGGGCAUGUACGUAAAUUUUGUAAAUGUUAUGCUAUUGUAAGUUAGACUUUUGUGUUUUGGAAACUUCAAAUAUUUUUUUUUGAAACUCAAAGGUCAAACUUCAAAUAUAUUUGGUUUUGGCUAGGCCAGACUUCAUAUAUAUAAUGACUUAUUUAGAUCGACUUCAGAUAUUUUUAUCGAAGUUAUGGCCUUGUCAAUACCCAUAAUUAGAAAAAAAAAACCCUAAGUUUGUGGCCUUGACAAUGCCAAA